CUCCCGCAGCACCUGUCGCCCAGUACGCGGGCGGGGAGGACGGCGCGGGGCAUGGCCUGGUAGGGUCUCCCGGGGAGACAGUACGGAGUCCAGUCCCGGGCAGUGCAGGCGAGGGAAGGACGGUCCUCCCCGGUGCCCGCGUGGCCGGCGGCAGCAUGAAAAAGAACCCGACGGUGCAGGGCACCUUCAGCAAACUCUUUGGCAAGAAGCACGCCAACCCGUCCGCCACCUCCCUCUACGCCGCCAAUCCCCCCUGGAUUUUCACCCAAGAGGCCCCGGAGGUGGGGACCCGGAACUUGGACGGGAUCUAUUUUGGCGACAACCGAUUUGACACUGUGAGUGAGUCAGGAACCGCCACGCUGAAAUCUCGGCCCAGAGUCCGACCCCUACUGACUUUUCUUCCACUGGACGCCCAGGAGAACCAUGGACUGGCUGUGCCCACCCCCUCUGUCCCAGACAGCUUUGCAGACAAACAAGGCGCCAGCACACUUGUCAACGGCAACCUCCGACUCUACAGCUCUAUGGGGGACCUAAGGCCUGGGCACUAUGGCCAGGACGCCUUCAUCCCUCCACCUCCCCCAGGCCCUGCCCCACCGCCACCCCUAUACACGUCACAACCUCAGGGGGAGUCCUCACCACCACCCCCACCCCCACCUUCUGUAGCUCCCCCACCCCCGCCCAGCACAGCCCCCCCUCUGUCCCCAGUAUUGGGGGCCCUGUCCCCUCCAUCCACCCUUUCCCCCCCCUCCACACCCACCCCUCCUGACUUCAUUCCCCCUGCCCCACCCUUGGCUGUUCAAGCCCCACCACCUCCCCUUUUCCCAGCCCCAGCGCCCCCAGCUCCUGUGCCUCCUCAUACACUGGAGACACACCUCUUUCCCACUGGGGGUGUCACCAAGUGGAAAUCAGAGGUUGCGCUGAAUGGCAGGCAGCCUGAGGUCCCCAGAAGCAGCCCCCCCAGGAGCCCGGCUGAGCCAAAGGGGAGCCUCCUAGGACCUCAACCGGAGUCCCACCUCACCUUCCCCCGCUCACUCAAGGUGCCUCCCCCGACCCCAGUCAGGACUUCGUCCAUCUCCACUCAGGAAGUGCAAGGGGCUCUUCCCAAGGAAGAGGGGGCCACCAAGAAGCCCCCCAGUCGACUCCCACUGCCUCCCAGCUUUCACAUCCGCCCCGUGUCCCAGGUCUACCUGGACAGGGCUGCUGAGCCAGACCACCCCGAGGGGCCCGGGGCUGCGGCACCAGCCAGCCCCAGGCUGGGCCAGUCCCAGGCUGGGACAAAUGUACAAGCUGAGACCCCACCUCCAGCCCCUCCCCUGCCCCCUCCUCCACCCCCACUUCCUCCCCCAGCACCCCCUCUCCCCCCUGCUGCCCCUCUUUUGCCACCUGCUGAGAAGGCAGCCCCUCCACCUGCUGGGUUGAUGAAAAGCCCCAAGUCCAGCCCUCCUGCUCCCAAACCCAAACCUGACCCCCCAAGCCUGGAGGACACAGCCUCUUCAGAGUCUGUGGAUUGGCGGGAUCCCAGCCAGAUGGAAAAGCUGCGGAAUGAGCUGUCAGCCUAUCUCUCUGGCUGCAGGCGAGAGGACCGAUGCGUCAGUCACAGACCAGGCCCAACUACAGCCUCUCAGGGAAAGGAGAGCAAGAAGGGCCCCAGACUGCCAGAGAAGGAGGCCCCCACAAGCCUGCCAGAGAAGGUGACCCCCCCAAGCCUGCCACAGAAGGUGACCCCCCCAGGCCUGACACGGAAGGAGGCCCCCCCAAGCCUGCCACAGAAGGAGGUUCUCCCAGGCCUACCACAGAAGGAGACCCCUCCAGGCUUGCCACAGAAAGAGGCCCCCCCAAGCCUGCCACAGAAGGAGGUUCCCCCAAGUGUUCCUCAGGAGAGUCCCUGCAGCCUGCCAGAGAGAGAGGCUGCCACUGGCCUGAGCCUACCCCCUGUGGACUACAUCCCCCAGGACUCGCCAACUCCCAGCGUCCGGCAGAUCAGGAACAAGCUGGAGGCCAGGUUUUCCUUAUCCGCAGAGAAGGAAGCCAAGCCCAGCACAGGGUUGCUGCCUCCCAAGCCACGGCUAGAAGGGGUAAGAAUCUUUGAAAACAGGGCUGAAAAUGGCAAAUUCUCCAAGCCUGUGGCCAAGAAUCCGCCAGCUCCAUCCACCACUCCUCUGCCAACCACGCCAUGCCAAUCCAAGGCCAUGCCUGGACCAGCCACACCACCCAAGGCCACACCUGAGCCCGUCAUACCAUCCUUGGCCACAACUCUGCCCACCACAUUAUCCCAACUGACAGCAGAGAAGAACCAAGUCCCAGCUAGGCAGGGGGAGAAGCCAGAAGGCCAAGGACUUGCAGUGCCCUCCAAACCAGAGACAGAAGGGCGCUCCUCAGAGGCCAGUAAGCCUCCUACACAGGAAGCCCUCUCAUCUCCAGCCCUCCCCACAAAGAUAUCUCCUAGCCGAGAAGAGGUGACAUUUCUCUACAAGCCCCAUCGCAGCCAGAACAGCCCUGGCAGAGAGGUGGCCGUGGUGAUGCCCACCCUGUCCAGAGGAGAGGCUGCAGGCUCAGGGGAGCCUGUGGAGGUGAAGGAGCCCCAGGGGCUGCCAGCCAAACCCCAAGCCUCAGCCCAGCCUGCUGAUCAACUCCUCAGGCACCCCGUGACAGGGGAGGUGGUGGAGCGGGGUUCCCCGAUGGCCCUACUCCUUGCAGCCCGGCAGAGGGCACAGAAGGGGAGGCCCAGACGAAUUGCCCUGGGCCGGUCCUCCCUACCAGGGAGUCUCCGUGUCCAUAGCCAGCCCGAGGCAGGCUCUGACGUCAUCUACAGCCAUAGCCAGCCCAACUCCUUCACUGUGGUCCCCAAGAUCUCCAAGGAGACUGAGGACCCCCAGCUAACCUCGCCAGGACAGCCCAAGUUACCCAGUCAGUGGAAGCCCCAGCCCAGCAGAGACCCAGAGGGCACUGAGCCCAGCCGCGGGCACAGCUGGACAAAGGCGGAGCCCCAGGCCCCCGCGGCCUGCGAAAGACGAGCGCUCUCCAACCUCCCCCAGGGCCGCCAGCCUCCCAAGUCCUUCUCUUCCCCUCCUUCUCCUUCCCGCAAGAGGGAGGAGGAGGAGUUCAACUUCGAGGUCAUCCCACCGCCGCCAGAGUUCAGCAAUGACCCCGAGCCCCAGGCCCUCCAAUAUGUGGGGCGCCGGGGCUCCCCUCCCCGGAACAACUUCUCAGACUCGGGGCCGCCCCGAGACGCGGGCCCUCCUCGCGGCUUCUCGCGCUUUCCCGCGGGUGCGGACCCCGGCGGCGGGGCUGGGGGCCUGGAGCGCUUCUCGCACGGGGGCCGUUCGCUCAUCAAGAAGCGCCUGUACGUCGGGGAGCCCCACCGCAGCUCCGGGCUGCCCCGCGGCGGUACCGGCUCCCCCAACUGCUUCGGGCCGCCUCCCGGAGGCCCGGAGAUGCGGCGCGUCACCUCGGCGGGCCGCACGCCCCUCGGCGGCCUGCACCCGCGGAAUAUGUCCCUGGAGGGCGCCGUCCGCGGGGAGGCCAAGUUCAAAGCGCCCGGCGGCGACUGCGGCUGCGCACCGGCUACCGGCAGGUCUCCCCACGGCAACGCCCACUACGGAAGCUCUAUCAACACAUUCACCGUGAGGCCUGGGACCCGCCAUCCCAUCUCCUAUGCCUACUCGGGGGCCCAUCGGAAGGCCCCAUCCUGAGCCCAGGGUUUUCUCGGUUCUACUCUGAGGGGUCGGAUCUGGGCACUUGUUUUUGUGGGGGUGGGAGGGACACAGCAGGUGUUAGGUAGCCUCACUCACUGAGGAGUCUUUGUUUCCCAAAGACAGACAGACGACGAGUGAAGUUGUGGCCCAGGAAGAUCAAGGCUGGAUUUCUGUUUCCCAAAGCACUAGUGUGGCUGUGGACUGUGCAGAUGGGGGUGGGAGAGGGAAAGAAGGAAGAGAGGAGGAACCUUUAAGGACCCGGGGCCCAAAUUUUCGCUGUCUGGUACUAUUUGCUUUAGCAAGGCUUAUUUAAAGCAGUUUUCCAAGCAGACCUACUGAGUAGGUUCUAAAAGCAAGGGCUGGGGCACUUACUGAAUGGGAGCCCAUCAGGAUGGCUGUGAUCACCACUCAGGCCCUCAUGAAGGGCCGAGGCCCAGCCCAGUCCUGGCGAGGGUGUAGGGUGCUACAGGUUCAUCUCCUUAUCCUCCAUCUGUCCACCAGCUGCCACUCUAAGAAUGGCACCUGGGAUUCCUAGCAUAGCCACAUUGAGGUGGGACCAGGAAUCUGCAUGCAUAACACAUAGUGAAGGUACUGGAGCAAAGUGCUUUGUAUUGACCAAGGGUAGGGAUGGGAGGCUUUUUGGUUCAUUUCUCUCUGGCCCUUAGCUACAGGAAGGCCUAGAGAGAGAAGGCUUUGGCAAGUUGGGGAUGGAAGACAGGAUUAAAGCUUGCUUUUCUACUCAGACCCAGGCAGCCAUGAUUUGGGGGAUGGGCCCAAGGAGCCAGAAAGCCUGGGGCUUAACACCAAAGGCCUCACAUGGUCAGGUGGCAUAUGGGAUUUGGAGGGGCACUGUUCCUAGUCGCCCCUCCCAAUCCCAAUACUACAGGCCCCCAACAUUAUCAAGGCCUUAAAAUGUGUCACCAAGAUGCUGGAAGGCCUUGGAGAGUGGGAGGUGACAGAGAUCAAACAGGUCUGAGAGGACUAUGCUGUCAGUGGGGAACGUGACUUGGAAAGUGAAGAGUGGCAAGACUGGGCCAGUUUGGAGCGGGGGAGCCCUAGCAGUAGGGUGACCAUUUCAUACUUUGCUUAGGAAGUCUGGGUUUCUAUCUAUUUUCCAGUGAAUUGGAACCCCUUACACUUUCAGAAAAGUCUUGGUUUGGAUGAUGUAUUGUCACCAAAUAUAUCAAGAUUGGUUCAUCUUCUGUCUUCAGGUCUUGGGCUGAAUUCCUGGGAUCAGGCCAAGGCAGGCUGCCUGGGUAAGGAGGAAGAGGGGUGCCCAGCUCAGAGGAGCAGGCCAGGAGCGGCAGCCAGGAAUCAGUUCCCCUUGGGGGCGUGAUGUUGGACCUUUGUGACUUGUGCUGACCAGCCAAGAUCCUUCAAGGGGAAGGAGCAGAGCUGAAGUGGGGUGAUAAACUGUGCCCUUAAGCAAGUCUCUGACUCUCUGAAUCUCAGUUUCUUCUUCUGUACCAUUGGCCCGAUAACCUACCUCAUAAGGCUGUUGUGAAGAUGAGAGACAGUCAUGCAUUCAUUUAACAAGGAUUCGAGUGGCUACCAGAUGGCAGGCACUGUGCUUAGCAUGGAUAUCCAGCGAUCAGCACACUAUACAACCCCUGCCCAUGGAAGACUGUGGGCUAGUGGAGUAGAGAAGAUGAAAGAACACACAGAAACAUCCUGUAUUAUAAUAAGUGGUAGGAAGGGAAGGAACAGGAAGCAUGAGAGUAGCUGGAGGGCUGCGGAGAGGAGUGGAUUCACUUUGACUGGCUGGUCAAGGAGCGCCUCUUGAAGUGGUGACAUUUAGGCCAAUUGAGUCCAGACAUCCAACACAUGUCUGGUACUCCGUAGCUGCUCAAUAAACUGCAUCUUUGG
Molecule: RNA transcript, 5561 nt
Organism: Camelus dromedarius (Arabian camel)
Lineage: Eukaryota; Metazoa; Chordata; Mammalia; Artiodactyla; Camelidae
Gene: C19H6orf132
Gene name: chromosome 19 C6orf132 homolog
Exons: 6
Source: RefSeq, a predicted model, not a curated record